CGUUCACGGCGAAGUGAAGCGGCAACAGCUUCAAAUUUGAAAGCUGGCCUUCGGGUCCGCGUCUGUAAUUUGCAGAGGAAGCUUUGGGCGCGGCGCCGUCUGAGUCCCCUGGAACGGGGCGCCAAAGAGGGUGAGAGCCCCGUAUAGACGGAUGCCUAGCCUGUGUAAAGCUCCUUCGACGAGUCGAGUAGUUUGGGAAUGCUGCUCAAAAUGGGAGGUAAAUUUCUUCUAAAGCUAAAUACCGGCCAGAGACCGAUAGCGCACAAGUAGAGUGAUCGAAAGAUGAAAAGCACUUUGAAAAGAGGGUUAAAUAGCACGUGAAAUUGUUGAAAGGGAAGCGCUUGUGACCAGACUUGCGCCGGGCUGAUCAUCCGGUGUUCUCACCGGUGCACUCUGCCCGGCUCAGGCCAGCAUCGGUUCUCGCGGGGGGAUAAAGGCUUAGGGAAUGUAGCUCCUCCGGGAGUGUUAUAGCCCUCUGCGUAAUACCCUCGCGGGGACCGAGGUCUGCGCUCU
This 513-nucleotide ribosomal RNA is filed under the name Mycothermus thermophilus. RNAcentral's name for it is "eukaryotic LSU rRNA". It matches the Rfam family "Eukaryotic large subunit ribosomal RNA", at positions 79 to 601 of the family's 3401-position model. Lineage: Eukaryota; Fungi; Ascomycota; Sordariomycetes; Sordariales; Chaetomiaceae. The record is from RNAcentral.